RNAcentral lists this ribosomal RNA (261 nucleotides) under uncultured bacterium. Its description in RNAcentral is "partial 16S ribosomal RNA". It matches the Rfam family "Bacterial small subunit ribosomal RNA", at positions 94 to 354 of the family's 1533-position model. The record is from RNAcentral.
AGCGGCGGACGGGUGAGUAACGCGUGGGUAACCUGCCUUACACAGGGGGAUAACAGUUAGAAAUGACUGCUAAUACCGCAUAAGACCCCGGUACCGCAUGGUACAGAGGUUAAAAACUGAGGUGGUGUAAGAUGGACCCGCGUCUGAUUAGGUAGUUGGUGAGGUAACGGCUCACCAAGCCGACGAUCAGUAGCCGGCCUGAGAGGGUGGACGGCCACAUUGGGACUGAGACACGGCCCAGACUCCUACGGAAGGCAGCAG